GCUCGAUGAGUAGGGCGGGACACGUGGUAUCCUGUCUGAAUAUGGGGGGACCAUCCUCCAAGGCUAAAUACUCCUGACUGACCGAUAGUGAACCAGUACCGUGAGGGAAAGGCGAAAAGAACCCCGGCGAGGGGAGUGAAAAAGAACCUGAAACCGUGUACGUACAAGCAGUGGGAGCCCCACCACUAAGCCAGUGGUGAACUCCACAUCCGCAUCCUUUGCUGAGGAUACGGUUAACGGAGCGAAAGCGACGUUCAACCGCAAAACAAGCAGAGGGGGCUUAGUGGUGGGGUGACUGCGUACCUUUUGUAUAAUGGGUCAGCGACUUAUAUUCUGUAGCAAGGUUAACCGUAUAGGGGAGCCGGAGGGAAACCGAGUCUUAACCGGGCGUUAAGUUGCAGGGUAUAGACCCGAAACCCGGUGAUCUAGCCAUGGGCAGGUUGAAGGUUGGGUAACACUAACUGGAGGACCGAACCGACUAAUGUUGAAAAAUUAGCGGAUGACCUGUGGCUGG
RNAcentral lists this ribosomal RNA (514 nucleotides) under Salmonella enterica subsp. enterica serovar Typhimurium. Its description in RNAcentral is "partial 23S ribosomal RNA". It matches the Rfam family "Bacterial large subunit ribosomal RNA", at positions 403 to 818 of the family's 2925-position model. The record is from RNAcentral. Lineage: Bacteria; Pseudomonadati; Pseudomonadota; Gammaproteobacteria; Enterobacterales; Enterobacteriaceae.